This 1356-nucleotide long non-coding RNA is filed under the name Gallus gallus (chicken). Its description in RNAcentral is "lncRNA (ENSGALG00010012700.1)". The record is from RNAcentral. Lineage: Eukaryota; Metazoa; Chordata; Aves; Galliformes; Phasianidae.
CUGUGGGAGCUGCUGGCUGUAGGAAGAGGAAGCAGGGCCUGCUCCUUCCCCAGCAGCUUCUCCCAGUUGUGUUGGGAGGGGUGGCUAUGGUGUUUCACUUGGUGCAGCCUCUAUGAAGCACGGAGGGGAGAAGAGGACACCCCUCCUUCUUGCUCACUUUGCUAAGGAGUGCACCCUGCUUCCUCUUAAACACGGAGAGGCCUUCCUCCUCUUCCUCCUCAAGAAAUGCCUGUUCCCCUUCUGCCCACGGGGCCCAUGGUGGCAGCAGCUCUGCCUUCAGCCCUGGGCUGCCAAACCCCCCCCAGAGCAGCUGGGGGCCUCUUCCUCGUGCAGGAGAAGGGGGGAACCCACGGGGAAGCCCAGCCCAGCCCAGCCCCUGCCUGCCCACAGCACGACAAGAGCCGGGCACAGCGCCUUGGUAUACAUCAUACAUUUAUUAGUGAAUAUCCCUCUCAAAAUCAGCCACAACAUUAAAAAAAAUAAUGAUUGCACUACUUGGUCAAGCAGAACUAGCAACUUUCAUUUUAAAAAAAGUACAAAUCUGUUAAAAAUUUCAAUCAGUAUAAUACACAUAUAUAUAAUACAACAUACUAGUUAUGUUAAAUGCUACAAAACCAAUAUGAUUCCAAUGGAAUGGAAAAAAAAACCAAACACUUUUAGAGCUUUAAGAACCUUUUUUUUUUUUUUCUAUAUAUUAGCCUUUUUUCAAAUACAUACAUGGGAAAAAUGAGGUAACUGUAAAAUGUGCAAGUAACAGAGCAAAAAAAAUUAUAUAUAUAUAUUUAUAUAUAUAUAUAUAUAUAUAUAUAAAAACUUUCUAACACAGAACACACGUCCUGGCGCCUGCCGGGGAGCCGCGCUCGCUCCGGAGGCCCACGGACUGGUAUAUAGAACAGUAAACAGUCCACUAUCCCACCACAGGAAAUCAUUGGUAAACAGUGGUAUCUACAGCGCAGUCAGCAAUCACAAACACCCUAAAUAAUUGGUUGGUUUUUUGUUGGGGUUUUUUUUUUUUUUUAAAGGUUUUUUUUUUUUUUGUCUUUUUUUUUGUCUUUUUGUUGUUGGGUUUUUUUUUUUUUCUUUUUUUGUUUUUUUUUUUUUUUCUUCUUAAAUGAUACUUGUAGCUGCUCAUUGGAAUAAAUUCUGCAGCACACGAGCUGUGAGCUUUCGAGUCGCCGUCAAAGGACCGUAAGGCUUUCCUGGCUCCCUGGGCACCGCGAGGGCGGGAGGGGACGAGGGGGGGCGUCUCCGGGGCGCGAGGCCGCCGCGCGGCACGGGGACUCCUUUGGUUAUCUGUCACUGAGCGAGGGACGGGGAGGGGGCCGGGGUCCUGCCCAGGGGGCACCGAGCCCAGCG